RNAcentral lists this ribosomal RNA (219 nucleotides) under uncultured bacterium. RNAcentral's name for it is "partial 16S ribosomal RNA". It matches the Rfam family "Bacterial small subunit ribosomal RNA", at positions 524 to 738 of the family's 1533-position model. The record is from RNAcentral.
GACGUAGGGCGCGAGCGUUGUCCGGAUUUAUUGGGCGUAAAGAGCUCGUAGGCGGUUCAGUAAGUCAGGUGUGAAAUCUUUGGGCUUAACCCAAAGCGUGCACUUGAUACUGCUGUGACUUGAGUUCGGUAGGGGAGUGGGGAAUUCCUAGUGUAGCGGUGAAAUGACGCAGAUAUUAGGAGGAACACCGGUGGCCGAAGGCGCCAGCUCUGGGCCGAA